This 346-nucleotide ribosomal RNA is filed under the name Sphingomonas sp. DhA-33. RNAcentral describes it as "SSU rRNA". It matches the Rfam family "Bacterial small subunit ribosomal RNA", at positions 1166 to 1512 of the family's 1533-position model. The record is from RNAcentral. Lineage: Bacteria; Pseudomonadati; Pseudomonadota; Alphaproteobacteria; Sphingomonadales; Sphingomonadaceae.
GAGGAAGGUGGGGAUGACGUCAAGUCCUCAUGGCCCUUACGCGUUGGGCUACACACGUGCUACAAUGGCGACUACAGUGGGCAGCCACCUCGCGAGAGGGAGCUAAUCUCCAAAAGUCGUCUCAGUUCGGAUCGUUCUCUGCAACUCGAGAGCGUGAAGGCGGAAUCGCUAGUAAUCGCGGAUCAGCAUGCCGCGGUGAAUACGUUCCCAGGCCUUGUACACACCGCCCGUCACACCAUGGGAGUUGGAUUCACUCGAAGGCGUUGAGCUAACCGCAAGGAGGCAGGCGACCACAGUGGGUUUAGCGACUGGGGUGAAGUCGUAACAAGGUAGCCGUAGGGGAACC